Long non-coding RNA from Lolium rigidum, 687 nucleotides. RefSeq lists it as uncharacterized. The transcript is spliced from 2 exons. NCBI's taxonomy places the organism in Eukaryota, Viridiplantae, Streptophyta, Magnoliopsida, Poales, Poaceae. The record is from RefSeq and is a predicted model, not a curated record.
GGAAAAUAAACUUACUGAAAAUGGGACUCUUCUAAGAAGGAAAUUUGCAAUCACUGUCAUCAUUUGUUUUAAGUAAUCUUAUUGAAGAUUGUUCUGCAGUAGAUAUUUCUUUUUCUGUGACCAAUAUUGUAAUCUAAAUUCCAUAUUUUUGCACAGUAAUAUUGUCAGUAAUAGAGUAAGGCUGACCUUACAAAAUUUGGCCAGGGAAAUUGGAUUAAAUCAAUCAUCCCUCACAGGCAUUGGUGAGUCAUCUUAUUGCUGAGGAUGUAUCUCUGGAAGUUGAAUGUGAUGCAAAGUUUGCACUAUGCAAUGUUACCAGCUGCUGAGACACACAACAUAAUUUCAGGGGAACUGCCUUCUGUGUGGGACAAUACUCUUCCGAUGUAUUCUCCCGGUAGUUCUUCUAUUGCUUCUAGGACCUGAUCUCGACAGUAUUGAAUGUUUUUGCUAAAGUAACACCAGGAUUUAUUGAAGGUAUUAUUGAUCUUGCAACUGCAAAUACAGCAUUGCAAACUAUAUAUCCUGGAGUUUUUCAAGCAGCUUAAAUAAUGCUUACAUAAUCUGUUUGUUUGUUCUAGAUCAGCUUAAUAAUGUAUAAAUAGUUUUGUCAAUCCCGUUGCAAUUCAUGUAAAAUGUUAUACAUGGGAAAUCAAAUGGCAAUAAACCAUCAGAUGUUUUCUUUUUUUU